Molecule: ribosomal RNA, 497 nt
Filed under: uncultured bacterium
Lineage: Bacteria
Description: partial 16S ribosomal RNA
Rfam family: Bacterial small subunit ribosomal RNA
Source: RNAcentral
GAUGAACGCUGGCGGCGUGCCUAAUACAUGCAAGUCGAGCGAACGGACGAGAAGCUUGCUUCUCUGAUGUUAGCGGCGGACGGGUGAGUAACACGUGGAUAACCUACCUAUAAGACUGGGAUAACUUCGGGAAACCGGAGCUAAUACCGGAUAAUAUUUUGAACCGCAUGGUUCAAAAGUGAAAGACGGUCUUGCUGUCACUUAUAGAGGGAUCCGCGCUGCAUUAGCUAGUUGGUAAGGUAACGGCUUACCAAGGCAACGAUGCAUAGCCGACCUGAGAGGGUGAUAGGCCACACUGGAACUGAGACACGGUCCAGACUACUACGGGAGGCAGCAGUAGGGAAUCUUCCGCAAUGGGCGAAAGCCUUACGGAGCAGCGCCGCGUGAGUGAUGAAGGUCUUCGGAUCGUAAAACUCUGUUAUUAGGGAAGAACAUAUGUGUAAGUAACUGUGCACAUCUUGACGGUACCUAAUCAGAAAGCCACGGCUAACUACGUG